Lepisosteus oculatus (spotted gar) is the source of this 1241-nucleotide non-coding RNA. The record is from RefSeq and is a predicted model, not a curated record. Lineage: Eukaryota; Metazoa; Chordata; Actinopteri; Semionotiformes; Lepisosteidae.
AAGAGGCAUGGUGUAGAGGACUCAAUAAACUUCCUGCAGCCUUCCUAUCACACUUAUUCUUUUACAUCUGUUUUACAUGAAAUUGAGAAGUGAGUGCAGGUUGACCUGCUGCAGGAGUUCCCACUCAGAAGGGCCACAGAGCUUACAGAGGAGGUGAGAGCAGACCUCCUGUCUGUUUGAAACCUCCUGCUGCACGUGCAGAGAGGGCUGGAGACUAAGGCUUCCCUGUGGUGGCUGAUGACUCCCCUCUGGUGGCCGUUGACUGUCAUGGUCCGAAUCCACUGUUGAGUACCUCUGUUGUUUCGCAAACAGAAGAGAGACCAAUAUUUAGUUUGCACUGCUGUGAAAUGCAACACCAACCUAAUAAAUGGAAAUCUACCAGCUUUUCCCUCUAGGAACCAAGAGCUGAAGCAGAAGCACCACUACAAGAAUCUCAGUGUGGCAGACAAGGGGGCUGAAGACGUAUCACCCAGCAUGACCACAGGACUCCCUGGGGAAACAGUGAUUUCUAGAUGCCCUCCACAAUUGGCUUCUCCCACAUUCUGUUCACGCUACCGACGGAGACAGCUCGCACAUGUUAAUCAAACAGCUCCCGCAUCGACAAGAGCAAACUGGAGUAUCAAAAGCCUUGCCUUUAUCUGUGCACAGUUCAUUUUAAUAAUCAGAGACAUUAAAUCAGGUCUGAUCAGAUUAAAGUCAUACUAGAUGUGUCUAUUACAGUCAUAGCUGUAACAGCUGAUGUAAUAUUUAUCCUGCAGUCUCCCGUAAGGAACAUGUUGCUCUCUUUCUCAACACCUUCUCUUUAAAUCAGACUUUAAACGGGAACUCCAAUACUAUAAUUAUUUUUUGUGGUGAGAAAGAAUCUGCAUUGAUGAGUGCAUCUCAAACCGCAAUAAAGAAAUCACACACAGUAACUUGUAAAAACCUCCAAUUUGCACCACAAAAUAGCUGAACUUUCCAGGUCUACACAGAGCCAUAUUCUGCGAUUCAAAGCCAAAUUCAAUUCUAAUUCACUUCUGGCGACGUGAUGCAGCCCUAUGACAUUGUAAACAAGCAGGCUUGUGAAUACACCUCUUUUAAUCCAAUAGAAACAUAGACCGUUUCACAGAUAAAUACUACUCGUUAACUCUGCACACAGGCAUGCAGAUCAUGCUUAAUUCGAAAUUUGUCAAUUUGUCAAUUUGUCAAUGUCAAUUAAUUUAUUUUGUUAUCGAGAUUUAAUAACUGUUCUGAGAAACUGU